Molecule: transfer RNA, 67 nt
Filed under: Triparma pacifica
Lineage: Eukaryota; Bolidophyceae; Parmales; Triparmaceae
Rfam family: tRNA
About the family: Transfer RNA (tRNA) molecules are approximately 80 nucleotides in length. Their secondary structure includes four short double-helical elements and three loops (D, anti-codon, and T loops).
Source: RNAcentral
GGCAUGGCGCAGCCUGGUAGCGCACCUGCAUGGGGUGCAGGGGGUCGUAGGUUCAAAUCCUACUGUC